AUCAGGAUUAGAGGUGCUGUGCUGGCUAAAGAAUCCAUGGAGAGGCUUCUCUCUGGUCAAUGUACACUGGAGGAGCUCCACUGCACAGCCAGAAACUUCCUUCUGCCUUGACAAAACACUUCCCCCCUUCACCAGCCUCUAAACCUGGCCCCAAGAGCUCUGCAGCAAUCUGCUUCUAGGGAAAAUUAUGUCAACGCUUUAAGUCCCAGUUUCCACAUCAGCAGAAUGAGGAUAACUGUGAAGAUUAAGCGCACACUGUC
Long non-coding RNA from Canis lupus familiaris (dog), 260 nucleotides. RefSeq lists it as uncharacterized. The transcript is spliced from 3 exons. The record is from RefSeq and is a predicted model, not a curated record. Lineage: Eukaryota; Metazoa; Chordata; Mammalia; Carnivora; Canidae.